RNAcentral lists this transfer RNA (71 nucleotides) under Heterocephalus glaber (naked mole-rat). It matches the Rfam family "tRNA". From Rfam's summary of the family: Transfer RNA (tRNA) molecules are approximately 80 nucleotides in length. Their secondary structure includes four short double-helical elements and three loops (D, anti-codon, and T loops). Lineage: Eukaryota; Metazoa; Chordata; Mammalia; Rodentia; Bathyergidae. The record is from Rfam by way of RNAcentral.
GGGGAUGUAGCUCAGUGGUAGAUCACUUGUCUAGAAUGCAUAAGGGCCUAGGUUUAAUUCCCAGCACCCCA